RNAcentral lists this ribosomal RNA (253 nucleotides) under uncultured bacterium. RNAcentral's name for it is "partial 16S ribosomal RNA". It matches the Rfam family "Bacterial small subunit ribosomal RNA", at positions 524 to 776 of the family's 1533-position model. The record is from RNAcentral.
UACGAAGGGUGCAAACGUUGCUCGGAAUCAUUGGGCGUAAAGCGCACGUAGGCGGCCUGUUAAGUCGGAUGUGAAAUCCCUCGGCUCAACCGAGGACGUGCAUUCGAAACUGGCAGGCUCGAGUAUGGAAGAGGGUCGCGGAAUUCCCGGUGUAGAGGUGAAAUUCGUAGAUAUCGGGAGGAACACCAGUGGCGAAGGCGGCGACCUGGGCCAAUACUGACGCUGAGGAGCGAAAGCGUGGGGAGCGAACAGG